UAGUAACGGCGAGUGAAGCGGCAACAGCUCAAAUUUGAAAUCUGGCUCUUUUAGGGUCCGAGUUGUAAUUUGCAGAGGGCGCUUUGGCUUUGGCAGCGGUCCAAGUUCCUUGGAACAGGACGUCACAGAGGGUGAGAAUCCCGUACGUGGUCGCUAGCUAUUGCCGUGUAAAGCCCCUUCGACGAGUCGAGUUGUUUGGGAAUGCAGCUCUAAAUGGGAGGUAAAUUUCUUCUAAAGCUAAAUAUUGGCCAGAGACCGAUAGCGCACAAGUAGAGUGAUCGAAAGAUGAAAAGCACUUUGGAAAGAGAGUCAAACAGCACGUGAAAUUGUUGAAAGGGAAGCGCUUGCAGCCAGACUUGCUUGCAGUUGCUCAUCCGGGCUUUUGCCCGGUGCACUCUUCUGUAGGCAGGCCAGCAUCAGUUUGGGCGGUGGGAUAAAGGUCUCUGACACGUUCCUUCCUUCGGGUUGGCCAUAUAGGGGAGACGUCAUACCACCAGCCUGGACUGAGGUCCGCGCAUCUGCUAGGAUGCUGGCGUAAUGGCUGUAAGCGGCCCGUCUUGAAACACGGACCAAGGAGUCUAACAUCUAUGCGAGUGUUUGGGUGUCAAGCCCGAGCGCGUAAUGAAAGUGAACGGAGGUGGGAACCCGCAAGGGCGCACCAUCGACCGAUCCUGAAGUUUACGGAAGGAUUUGAGUAAGAGCAUGGCUGUUGGGACCCGAAAGAUGGUGAACUAUGCUUGAAUAGGGUGAAGCCAGAGGAAACUCUGGUGGAGGCUCGCAGCGGUUCUGACGUGCAAAUCGAUCGUCAAAUUUGGCAUAGGGCGAAAGACUAAUCGA
Molecule: ribosomal RNA, 837 nt
Filed under: Curvularia protuberata
Lineage: Eukaryota; Fungi; Ascomycota; Dothideomycetes; Pleosporales; Pleosporaceae
Description: LSU rRNA
Rfam family: Eukaryotic large subunit ribosomal RNA
Source: RNAcentral